RNAcentral lists this non-coding RNA (26 nucleotides) under Mus musculus (house mouse). Lineage: Eukaryota; Metazoa; Chordata; Mammalia; Rodentia; Muridae. The record is from RNAcentral.
UGCGUGCAUGUUCUACCAGUUGGAUA